This 69-nucleotide transfer RNA is filed under the name Uranoscopus bicinctus. RNAcentral describes it as "tRNA-Pro". It matches the Rfam family "tRNA". From Rfam's summary of the family: Transfer RNA (tRNA) molecules are approximately 80 nucleotides in length. Their secondary structure includes four short double-helical elements and three loops (D, anti-codon, and T loops). The record is from RNAcentral. Lineage: Eukaryota; Metazoa; Chordata; Actinopteri; Uranoscopiformes; Uranoscopidae.
CAGAGGGUGGUUUAAUUAGAAUCUCAGCUUUGGGAGCUGUGGAUAGGAGUUAGAGUCUCCUCCCUCUGA